This 386-nucleotide unclassified non-coding RNA is filed under the name Hevea brasiliensis (rubber tree). The record is from RNAcentral. Lineage: Eukaryota; Viridiplantae; Streptophyta; Magnoliopsida; Malpighiales; Euphorbiaceae.
GUUAAAAACUCCAUUAAUACUCAAAGCCCAGAAACCCUUCAUAAAUUUGCCAAAUUUCUUUUCUUUUUUUGGUCGUAGGAGAAAUUGGCUGUCUUUCUCUACACCCAAUUCCUCUCUCAACCGUUAUGCUUUCUUUUCUUCCUCUCCAUUGUCCACCUCCGAAAACCCUCUCUCCGCCGCUGUCAUCAUCAUCUAAACCUCUGCUUCUUACGUCCACGCCUGCAUAUCUCUCUCUCCGCAUCAGAUCCCUCUCCACCACUGCCACCAGGCCGGCCAUCACCUCCACACCAGGGGCAGACCCAGGAUACUACACCCAAAUGCCACCUUCCAAUUCUAACCUCCUCAAAAUCGCCAUGGUUGGGUUCGGCAACUACGGCCAAUUCCUC